AAUAACCUCGGGAAACUGAGUAUAAUGCCCGAUAGAACACUAUACCUGGAAUGGUUUGUGUUCCAAAUGAUUUAUCGCCGUAGGAUGGGACUGCGGCCUAUCAGUUUGUUGGUGAGGUAAUGGCCCACCAAGACUAUUACAGGUACGGGCUCUGAGAGGAGUAGCCCGGAGAUGGGUACUGAGACACGGACCCAGGCCCUAUGGGGCGCAGCAGGCGAGAAAACUUUGCAAUGUGCGAAAGCACGACAAGGUUAAUCCGAGUGAUUUCUGCUAAAGGAAUCUUUUACCAGUUCUAAAAAUACUGGCGAAUAAGGGGUGGGCAAGUUCUGGUGUCAGCCGCCGCGGUAAAACCAGCACCUCAAGUGGUCAGGAGGAUUAUUGGGCCUAAAGCAUCCGUAGCCGGCUCUGUAAGUUUUCGGUUAAAUCUAUACGCUCAACGUAUAGGCCGCCGAAAAUACUGCACAGCUAGGGAAUGGGAGAGGUAGACGGUACUCGGUAGGAAGGGGUAAAAUCCUUUGAUCUAUCGAUGACCACCUGUGGCGAAGGCGGUCUACCAGAACAUGUUCGACGGUGAGGGAUGAAAGCUGGGGGAGCAAACCGGAUUAGAUACCCGGGUAGUCCCAGCUGUAAACGAUGCAGACUCGAUAAUGCAUUGGCACAUAGCCAGUGCAGUGUCGCAGGGAAGCCGUUAAGUCUGCCGCCUGGGAAGUACGUACGCAAGUAUGAAACUUAAAGGAAUUGGCGGG
Molecule: ribosomal RNA, 746 nt
Filed under: uncultured Candidatus Nitrosopumilus sp.
Lineage: Archaea; Thermoproteati; Nitrososphaerota; Nitrososphaeria; Nitrosopumilales; Nitrosopumilaceae
Description: bacterial SSU rRNA
Rfam family: Archaeal small subunit ribosomal RNA
Source: RNAcentral